UGUAGCUCACUGGUAGAGCACUCACCCCCAACAUGGGAGGCUCUGGGUUCGACUCCCAGCA
This 61-nucleotide transfer RNA is filed under the name Ictidomys tridecemlineatus (thirteen-lined ground squirrel). RNAcentral describes it as "Spermophilus tridecemlineatus (thirteen-lined ground squirrel) tRNA". It matches the Rfam family "tRNA", at positions 6 to 65 of the family's 71-position model. Rfam says of the family: Transfer RNA (tRNA) molecules are approximately 80 nucleotides in length. Their secondary structure includes four short double-helical elements and three loops (D, anti-codon, and T loops). Lineage: Eukaryota; Metazoa; Chordata; Mammalia; Rodentia; Sciuridae. The record is from Rfam by way of RNAcentral.